CCACUCUCUCCUCUGCCUUCCCCAAGCCAGAAGUGAAGAUUCCAGGCAGAUCUUCAAGCUUCUGAUUCUCUCUUAGAAUUCUCAGUUUUUUCUUCUUCUUGGCCUUCCCCCACUCUCUUCAGCUAGUCUCUCUCAGAGACUGUUCUCUCCUUGAUGAAGAAUGUCUCUUCUCCCAUCUUACAUGAUACGAGGCCAUUUGACAUCAUCAAAGUCCUUUGGUACUAAAUCACUGGAUUUUAGUUUCAGAGAACAGAUGAGGAUCUUUGAAAUUACUAUGCAUUCACCAGAUAAAGCCUGAAAUGCCAGAGGAUGAAUCCAUGACAGAAAAGUUCAUUCUCCAACUUGGGUGCCAGAGGGGAGAAAGUUCUUCUGGUCUUCUUGGGUUGCAACUAAUUUCUGGAGAUCUCAGGUGGAGAGGAUCACUAGCACACACCAACACUUGUGGCUUCAAAGGAUAAAGAGAUCUUGAUCACAGUUUCAAGGCAGAAAAGAGAGAUUGGGGCUACUCACAGAACAGAGCACAGCCUGGAAUAGUAUUAAACACAUCUCUCCUUACAUCAAACCACCUUGGAGAAUUGAAAACUUAUAGAUCCUCAAAAGUUAAAAACAAAAGUUAGUUGCAUAAAGAACUUGAAGCUUAAAACAGUGCUCCCUUCACCACAGCAACAGAGUCCAAAAUUGACUAUUUUAAUUAAAAUGAAACAAAAAGGCUGGAAAAUGAGCAUAAGAUAAAAAAGAAAAAAGAAAAUGUAGGGAGUAAUUUUGGUGACAGAGAAGACCAAAAUAGAAACUUGGAAGAAGACAUCAAAGUCAAUAUUCUUUGGAUGCAAAGACUCCAAGAAAAAUAGGAAUUUCUCUCAAGCCCAAGAAGAAUUAAUGGAGGAGUUCAAAAGUGAUUUUAGAAAUAAAAUAAGAGAAGUAGAAGAAAAAUUGGAAAAAGAAAUGAGAGUGAUACAGGAAAAUAAUGAACAAAAGAGCCAACAGCUUGGUAAAGGAGGCAUACAAAAAAUACUGAAGAAGGAAGAAAAUAAAACCUUAGAAAACAGAUCAGUCCAAUUAGUGAAAGGAAUACAAAAAUCCAAUGAGGAGAACUCUUUUAGAAGCAGAAGUAGCCAAAUGAAAAAAAAAAACCAUACAUAAAAAUCCACUGAAGAGAAGAACUUCUUAAAAGGUAGAAUUGGCUAUAUGGUAAAAAAAAAGAGGUACAAAAAUUCACUGAGGAAAAGAACUUCCUGAAAAGUAGAGCUAAACAAAUGGAAAAGGAGGUACAAAACCUCACUUAAGAAAAUCGUGUCUUAAAAAUUUGAAUUGGACAAGUGGAAGCUUAUGACUACCUGAGAUAUCAAGAAAUAAUAAAGUCAAAAUAAUGAAAAAAGAAAAUGUGAAACAUUCCAUUAGGAAAACAACUGACUUUGAAAAUAAAUCCAGUAGAGAUAAUCUAAGAAUUAUUGGACUUACUAAAAGCCAUGAUGAAAAGAAGAGCUUAGACAUCAUCUUUCAAGAAAUGAUCAAGGAAAACUGCCCUGAUAUGCUGGAGUCAUAAAGUAAAAUAGAAAUUAGAUUCCAAGGAUAUUGGAUAUCCAAAGGAUAACUCCCAAGGACAUUAUAGCCAAAUUCCAGAACUUCCAGGUCAAGAAAAAAAUAUUCAAGCAGCCAAAAAGAAACAAUUCAAAUAUUGUGAAACCACAGUCAGGAUAACACGGGAUUUAGCAACUUUGUAACAAAUAAAAGGGUGGUCUGGCCAGAGUUAUAAUAAAUUUUUGAAAGAGAGAGUUGGGGGGGGGAGAGAGAUUUCAGCAAAUGUGGUCACCUCCAUGUUGCACUGCCACUUAUCCACAGUCAGCCCAAGGAGUCAGUCUGUUCAUGAGCAGAAAUAAAGAGAGCUCUCUCCUUCCCACAUUCCCAUUUUAAACCCCACUAGCUCCUCCCUCAGUGGCAGACAUUGCACGUUGAUUCUCACAGUGAUACUGACUCUCACAGUGAUGCAGAUGCUCACACUGAUUCCAGGGGAUGCUAGGUCAUUAAGAUAUGUCAUUACUCUAUAAUACCCACCACUGGUGUGCUGCAGGAUGGAGGUAUUUUACUUCACACAGAUUUUACAAUAAAGGAUAACAGGGCCUGGAAUACAAUAUUCCAGAGGGCAAAAGUGCUAGUAUUUCAACCAAGAAUCAAUUACCAAAAAAAAAAAAAACUGAACAUAAUCCUUCAGAGAGAAAAAAAUGGAUAUUCAAUGAAAUAAAGGACUUUCAAGAAAUUCUGAUGAAAAGACCAGUGCUGAAUGGAAAAUUUGAUUUUCAAAUACAAGACUUAAGAAAAGCAUAAAAAGGUAAAUAAGAACAAGAAAUCAAAAGAUAUUCACAAAGGAUAAACUGUUUAUAUACCUACAUGGGAAGAUGAUUCUGUCAUUCCUAAGAACCUUAUCAUUAUUAGGAGCAGCUGAAAGGAGUAGAUAGAUUAGAUAGAUAGAUAGAUAGAUAGAUAGAUAGAUAGAUAGAUAGAUAGGGGGCAAAAGUGCAAAUUCAAUAUGAUGGGAUGAUAUUAAAAAAUAAAAUUUAAUGUAUUAGAUAGAUAGAUAGAUAGAUAGAUAGAUAGAUAGAUAGAUAGAUAGAUAGAUAGAUAGAUGAGGGAAGCUAGAUGAUGGAAUAAAUAGACUACUAGGUCUGGAGUCAGGAAGACCUAAUUAUAAAUCUGGCCUCAGACACUAGCUGUGUGACCCUGGUCCAGUCACAUAAUCCCAUUUGCCUUAGUUUCUUCAUUUAUAAAAUGAGAAAAGGAAAUAGCAAAACACUCCAAUAUUUUUACCAAGAAAAAAGCCAAAUAAGGUAAAGUGACUAAACAACAAGAACAAUGACAUUAGAUAUAUAGAAUUAUAUUAUUAGCAGCAGAUGAAAGGAGUAUACAUAGAUGGGGGCAAAAGUGCAAGUAGAGUAUGAUAGGAUGAUAUUAAAAAUAAAAUUUAAUGCAUUACAUAUAGAUUUAGAUAUAUGAGAGAAGCUCAGUGAUGGAGUAAAUAGAUAUAUAGAAAAUAAAUGCAGAUACAAAAUAGAUACUAGGUGAUGGAGAGCAAGGGAAAGGAGAAAGAAGUAAGAGCAAAUGAGGACCAGAAAAAUCGAAAGUAUAAGGUGUCACUUGAGCUAAUCCAUAAAGGAAAACAGGAAUUCUAAAAGACAGAUAUAAAAUGGGAGAAGAUUCCAGGCAUGGAUGACAGAGAAACGACAUAAAGGCUGGAAAAUGCAUGGAAGGAAGUAAUGUACCAGGUAUAGAAAGUAUGGUUAGGUCCAGAGUCAGUUUAGGGAGGACCUUAAAGGUAAAGCUGAGAAAUUAGGUUGCUGCUGGUGGCAAAGUGAUUGAAAAGGAAACAGUCAAGAAAUCUAGAGAGUGGGUCAUGUUGGGAGUGAUGUGAGCAGGACCAGAGACCCUCUUGAAAUGAAGUCAAUAGUCAGUAGACCUUGACCAUGACCACAGUCCAUCCAACAACAGGGAGAGCCAAACAAUUCAUAUUGAGAGCAGACCCUAUUGCCAAACAAAGGCUCACACAUGUUCACUAUAGCUCUAAACCUUGAAGGAUCAUUGGAGUCCAGUUAGUUUAAAUCUCUCAUUUUGCAGAUUAGGAAAUGGAGGCCCACAAAGAAAAAGUGACUUGAUCUAAAUGACAAAAAAUAGAAUCCAUGUCAUCUAACUCCAAAGCCAGCAUUCUUUCAACUGUACCAGUUGACUCUCAAAUUUCCUGCAAAAAAACUAAUAACAAUUACAAAUCCAACUGCUUAAGUAGUAAAUAAGUUUCAAAAUUGAACUUGAAAAAGAAAUUGCUAUAUUCUCCCCUACUGGGAUCUUUUUUUUUUUGGUCCUAUGGGUCAAAACAGGUCUAGAGUGAAAUGAAACACUAUCCAGGAAUGUUUAGCAACAUCAUUUACCAAUUCCAAGCAGCAGAGAAGAAGAGAAUCCUCAGUUGCAAAUACAGGGGAUUUUAAAUCUGGACAGAGUACAAUUACUCAAACUGAAGCCCAGCCAAGGCUAACUAACACCUCAACGCUUAGGAGAGAUUGCCCAGUGACCUUCACUGGCUGUCAGUCAUCAGAGUUCUGAGCUUCACAUGGCAUUUGAAAGAUAGCACCUCUAAUGGAGUAAAACAACUGUCCUAUGUAAAAAAAAAAA
Long non-coding RNA from Monodelphis domestica (gray short-tailed opossum), 4155 nucleotides. RefSeq lists it as uncharacterized. The record is from RefSeq and is a predicted model, not a curated record. Lineage: Eukaryota; Metazoa; Chordata; Mammalia; Didelphimorphia; Didelphidae.